AAAACUUUCAACAACGGAUCUCUUGGUUCUGGCAUCGAUGAAGAACGCAGCGAAAUGCGAUAAGUAAUGUGAAUUGCAGAAUUCAGUGAAUCAUCGAAUCUUUGAACGCACAUUGCGCCCGCCAGUAUUCUGGCGGGCAUGCCUGUCC
RNAcentral lists this ribosomal RNA (148 nucleotides) under Trichoderma harzianum. RNAcentral describes it as "5.8S ribosomal RNA". It matches the Rfam family "5.8S ribosomal RNA". Rfam says of the family: 5.8S ribosomal RNA (5.8S rRNA) is a component of the large subunit of the eukaryotic ribosome. It is transcribed by RNA polymerase I as part of the 45S precursor that also contains 18S and 28S rRNA. The record is from RNAcentral. Lineage: Eukaryota; Fungi; Ascomycota; Sordariomycetes; Hypocreales; Hypocreaceae.